RNAcentral lists this ribosomal RNA (387 nucleotides) under uncultured Cercozoa. RNAcentral's name for it is "SSU rRNA". It matches the Rfam family "Eukaryotic small subunit ribosomal RNA", at positions 587 to 972 of the family's 1831-position model. The record is from RNAcentral. Lineage: Eukaryota; Cercozoa.
AGCUCCAAUAGCGUAUAUUAAAGUUGCUGCAGUUAAAAAGCUCGUAGUUGGAUUUCUGGCUUGAAACAUUUUGCCGGCCACGGUUUCGUGUGUCAGUGCAAGAUGUUCUGGCCAUCCUUCCAAUCGCUAUGGCUUAUCUUCAUUGAUAGGUCAGUAGUAUUGGAUCUUUUACUUUGAAAAAAUUAGAGUGUUUCAAGCAGGCUUAUGCUAUGAAUACAUUAGCAUGGAAUAAUAAUUUAGGACUUCGGUUCUAUUUUGUUGGUUUCUAGGACUGAAGUAAUGAUUGAUAGGGAUAGUUGGGGGUGCUAGUAUUCAGCGGCCAGAGGUGAAAUUCUCGGAUUCGCUGAAGACUAACUUAUGCGAAAGCAUUCACCAAGGAUGUCUCCU